RNAcentral lists this ribosomal RNA (406 nucleotides) under uncultured bacterium. RNAcentral describes it as "partial 16S ribosomal RNA". It matches the Rfam family "Bacterial small subunit ribosomal RNA", at positions 30 to 526 of the family's 1533-position model. The record is from RNAcentral.
AUUGAACGCUGGCGGCAGGCUUAACACAUGCAAGUCGAGCGAGCGGCGGACGGGUGAGUAAUGUCUGGGAAACUGCCUGAUGGAGGGGGAUAACUAAUGGAAACGGUAGCUACUACCGCAUACCACCAGAUGUGACCAGAUGGGAUUGGCUAGUAGGGGGGGUAAUGGCGCACCUAGGAGACGAUCCCUAGCUGGUCUGAGAGGCUGACCAGCCACACUGGAACUGAGACACGGUCCAGACUCCUACGGGAGGCAGGAGUGGGGAAUAUUGCACAAUGGGGGGAAGCCUGAUGCAGCCAUGCCGCGUGUGUGAAGAAGGCCUUCGGGUUGUAAAGCACUUUCAGCGAGGAGGCGUUACUCGCAGAAGAAGCACCGGCUAACUCCGUGCCAGCAGCCGCGGUAAUUC